This 185-nucleotide small RNA is filed under the name Arabidopsis thaliana (thale cress). RNAcentral describes it as "ATSL267280". The record is from RNAcentral. Lineage: Eukaryota; Viridiplantae; Streptophyta; Magnoliopsida; Brassicales; Brassicaceae.
CCUCUGACAAGGAAACACUACUUAGGCUUUUAAGAUCCGAUUGCGGUUCUAGUUCUUAUACUCAAUCAUACAUAUGACAUCAAGUCAUAUCUGACUCCCAAAAACUAACCAAGCUUCUUCUUGCUUCUCAAACAAAGCUUUGAUGGUGUAGCUGAAUUUCGUAUGAGUCUUUGGCUUUGUAUCUU